UUGAAAGUCGAUAUGGCAACUUGUGAGAAAAUGGAAUCAACAUACUUUGAGACCAAGUUAUGCCACUCAGUGUCAAUUUUCUCAAUUAAAGUGCAUUUCACCCAGCAUUUCUCAAUUUCAAGUAACUUCCUAGACAGAAGUCAGAAUUUGUGCCCACUUCUCUGAGCUUGGAUUUUCUGACACGGACUUCUCUAGAUCUUGUUUAUGCUGUCACAGUCUAGGUUCUGCAAGAUGCAUGGACAGUCCAGAACAGAAGCCACAGGAUAAGUUUUAUACUAUGAUACUAGAUAAGAUUAUAAUAGCUGAUUAGUUUCAGGUUCCUGACCCAGUAUAUUACAAAGGUAUUUUUAUUUUAGAUUUUGGAAAUGUAAAUCUCGUAUUAAAAUGGAUUUAACAGCAUUCAACACAUUCCUUGUUUUAUAUUUCUAAGGAAAGUAGCUGGUUGCAAGACAAUUCAAAUUCAUUGCCUGCACUUCUCACAGAUUGUCUCUUUGAAGUACAGACACAGGCUAUGUUUCCAAUGCUCUGCUCAAGAACAUCAACCAGCUUAACAGCCUGAAACUAAAAUAAAAAUAAAUCGAAGACCAUUUUGGGGAGUAGAUAGAUAUAUUUUAUCAACACAAAGCAAGCAAGCAAACUAUAUCCCGUCAAAUUUUACCACCUCAAGGAAGAAGUCUUCAUACCUCAAUUAACUUUAAUGGAAGUACCUGAGACAAAAGAUUGCACAAAACUUUGUGUGCAAGUGAUGACAUUUCACAACGCCUUCAUAAAUACUUCUUGAAGAAGAGUCCAUGUAUCAUUUGAAAGUGUAUGUCAGUGUAGUUUCAUCUAAACCAAAUGGCAUUUUCAAAACUUUUAUAUCUUUAUUUAAUGGUUUCUUCCAGGACUGUAAGUAUUAAUAGAUUAUCAAAUUGAAAGAUGUUUGUUCUGACCUUCACAUACCUCCAUUUCUCCAGAGGUUUAAUGUCUCUUACCAUGUAACAGAUGAACAUUAGGUGAUUUCUCACUUCUCUAUGGUCUUACCCUGACUUCGUCACAGACAAAUGAUAAAUCAUAUGGUGUAUAAAACUCCGAAUAAU
This is a long non-coding RNA of Mastomys coucha (southern multimammate mouse), 1079 nucleotides long. RefSeq lists it as uncharacterized. The record is from RefSeq and is a predicted model, not a curated record. The transcript is spliced from 3 exons. Lineage: Eukaryota; Metazoa; Chordata; Mammalia; Rodentia; Muridae.